This is a non-coding RNA of Salvia hispanica, 304 nucleotides long. The record is from RefSeq and is a predicted model, not a curated record. NCBI's taxonomy places the organism in Eukaryota, Viridiplantae, Streptophyta, Magnoliopsida, Lamiales, Lamiaceae.
UAUACGAAAGAAGUAAGGAUAGUAGAACGUGAGAAGAUAUUAAGUGCUCAUCUAGUAUCUACCAUAAUCAGGUAAAUGAUAUCGCUGAUGUUUUGGUUGAUAUGAGUUUUAGAAACUCCAUGUGUUAUCAGGAUUGGCGGCUGAUGCAUUAUAGCAACCUUCUCCUCCUCAUCAUUUUGCAUGUAGACCAAUGUAUAAUAUAUAGAGUGGAGAGAGAGUCUCAAUACAAUUCAACAUGUUUUGAAAUAUGAAAUUACAUAUUAAUUUUGAUGUUUGAGUUUAUAUUAUAUGGAUGCUUUAUGAA